UACGUAGGGGCCUAGCGUUGUCCGGAAUCAUUGGGCGUAAAGAGCGCGUAGGCGGCCCGGUAAGUCCGCUGUAAAAGUCAAAGGCUCAACCUUUGAAUGUCAGUGGAUACUGCCGGGCUAGAGUCCGGAAGAGGCGAGUGGAAUUCCUGGUGUAGCGGUGGAAUGCGCAGAUAUCAGGAGGAACACCAACGGCGAAGGCAGCGCGCUAGGACGGUACUGACGCUGAGGAGCGAAAGCGUGGGGAGCGAACAGG
RNAcentral lists this ribosomal RNA (253 nucleotides) under uncultured bacterium. Its description in RNAcentral is "partial 16S ribosomal RNA". It matches the Rfam family "Bacterial small subunit ribosomal RNA", at positions 524 to 776 of the family's 1533-position model. The record is from RNAcentral.